This 121-nucleotide small RNA is filed under the name Acinetobacter baumannii. RNAcentral's name for it is "partial RtT sRNA". It matches the Rfam family "RtT RNA". Rfam says of the family: This family represents a bacterial cis-regulatory element known as RtT RNA. The exact function of RtT is unknown although it is thought that it may be involved in changing the cellular response in relation to amino acid starvation. Lineage: Bacteria; Pseudomonadati; Pseudomonadota; Gammaproteobacteria; Moraxellales; Moraxellaceae. The record is from RNAcentral.
UAUUCUGCCCCAUGGGGAAGGAUGAGAAGCUUCGACUAAGGUUCGACUCGAGCGCCAGCGAGAGAACGUUGCCGCAGGCAACGGCCCGAAGGGCGAGGCGCUUUAGCGCCGAGUAAUCCUU